UACGUAGGGACCAAGCGUUGUUCGGAUUUACUGGGCGUAAAGGGCGCGUAGGCGGCAAUUCAAGUCAGUUGUGAAAUCUCCGAGCUUAACUCGGAACGGUCAACUGAUACUGCUUUGCUAGAGUACAGAAGGGGCAAUCGGAAUUCUUGGUGUAGCGGUGAAAUGCGUAGAUAUCAGGAGGAACACCGAUGGCGAAGGCAGGUCUCUGGGCCACUACUGACGCUGAGAAGCGAAAGCAUGGGGAGCGAACAGG
This 253-nucleotide ribosomal RNA is filed under the name uncultured bacterium. RNAcentral describes it as "partial 16S ribosomal RNA". It matches the Rfam family "Bacterial small subunit ribosomal RNA", at positions 524 to 776 of the family's 1533-position model. The record is from RNAcentral.